RNAcentral lists this long non-coding RNA (2704 nucleotides) under Nicotiana benthamiana. RNAcentral's name for it is "long non-coding RNA (NBEN_LNC011331)". The record is from RNAcentral. Lineage: Eukaryota; Viridiplantae; Streptophyta; Magnoliopsida; Solanales; Solanaceae.
UUUAGGACUCGCUACCUAACUCAAGACCCGAAUCCCAAAUACCCAUUAAACCAAUUGAAAGAACAUUAAAAUUGAGCCCAAAGAGCUGGCCUAAUUCAAAAUGAUAAGAGGGCAGCAGAUGGUCUUGAGGCUAGCCCAAACAGACAGGGAACUAUCAGACUGCCCAGGGGAGAACAAAGGACCGAAUCCCCUGAGGGCUGGCAAGCUCAUGAUUUACUUGACUACCAAACUUUUGCCGCCUCUUAUACGUGUAUUCAGCAAUUAACAAUGAAGCAAACCAAAGCACUCUUAUGUUUAUUUAACCAAUUAAAAUCUUAUCCUUACGUCUUUGUGACAAAUUGAAAUGAGAAAUCUAUUAGAGGAACACAUGCCUGCUUAUGAAUUCUAACCAACAACUUGUUUAUAGCUAAUUCCAUGACAGUCAUAAAGCACAGAGAUGCAAACCAUCCAAGAAAUUUAUAUGCUCGUUUGGAUUUAAUUGCAGGCUCAGGCCCAUUGGUAACAUGCUUUUAACCACACUCAAUUUAACACAACAAACAGAAAUAAAUUAGACAGACAUGGUUCAUACAGCCCACUACCUAGCAUUAACAGUUCGAACCUCAUGUCACUACACAAAUUCUCAUUACAUAUUUUGAAUCAGCUUCUAGCUCAGAAUAUUUCCUAGUAAAUUGAACAUUUACACAUAAACUAAACUAGUUACAGUUCAAGCCCUUGCAAAUUAACAGCCCAUGGAAAUUUAAACAAUCUCAGUUUAAUUACAACACUCAAAACAGUAAAAAUUGAUCUUAACUACACAAAUCCUCUUCACUAGAGUUCGAAAAAACUAAAACUACACGAAUACACAUUAAUUACUUCACAACGAAUACAUAAGUAUAGAUCUGAACAUCAAUUCAUUCCAAUCCAAUUCGUGGUUUCAUCGGCUAUAGAUUCAAGUGUGUACCUGGAUUAUAAUGGAAUAAGGGAGAAGAGGAAGGUCAGCAACAGUUUUAAAUGACCAAAUCAACAGCAAAAGGAAAUACAACAACCUCCAGAUGUAAGAGAAUUGACCCAGAAUGUAUUAAAAACUAGUAGAUAACCCAAAAGACCCCACGCAACAGCUAGAACCCAACAGAAAUUACUCCACACCAAUCCGCAACAAAUCCCAAAACAAAUUGUAAGCAGGAAAUCAAAAAGAAACCCAGAAGUUGCUCACAACCAAUGAAACGGUGACUGUUUUUGUUGUUUUCUAUUUUUUAUAUACAUUUAUUUGGUAUUUUUUGUGUAUUUAAAAUGUUGAAACUAAUCUGAAGCUAAUAUGAAAGGAAAAUCAGAUUCCUUGUGGACUUUUAUGAGCUAAAAAAUUUAAGACCCCCUUUCACAAGGUAAUUGAUGCCUUUAUAUAGGCCAGAGUGAGGGCAACCCUCAGAUUUUAAUUUUUCUUCUUAGCCCCUGCUCAUUUUUCACUUUAAACCUUAAUUUUCUAACUAUUUCCUCAAGUUACUACCUUAAGUUUAGUGAAAUCUACACAAAAGUCCUAUUCUAAGAGCUUCUAGGAUGCUCUUUUAGCCCCAAAAGUACUAUACUACCCUUAACCCUACCUUGCAAUUACUAUUUUUCAAAAUACUACCCUUUUUCAUGCCCAGACUACCCUUUUAUUAAUCUGAAAAUUACAGAUCCUAUGCUAACUGAUCCUAAUCCCCUUACCCCUGUUAAAAAAAAUUAACUAAAUUAACCCAAUUCAGCUAUAUCCAAUUAGAUUCAGGCUAUGGGACUGUUUUGACCAAAACUAAAUAUAAUUACAGAUUAAUCCUAGCUAAAUACAUGUUAAAUCCCUAAUUAAACAAAAUCGAUAAUUAAAAUAUUGAGCUAACUUAUCUAAAAUCAAACAAACCAUUAACAAGUAAAACAGAUAUGGAAAUUCAUCAUGAAACAACCAAACAAGACAGCCAAAAUGCAUUCAACUGAUUCUACCACAACUAAUUUCAUGAUUGACUUAUCGAGCCAACAUCUAAUAUUGAUCAAAAGAGAUGAAGAACAAGCAAAUGAACACAGAGUACCCAAAUUAAAUUAUUGGUUAAACAAACUGCUAACAGAGAAUGAGUAACAAUGAAAUUUAAUCCUAAAUUGAUUACUCGGCAGACAUGAUCAUGAAUUAAACUAAUUCUAAUAACACUGAAAUUUAACAAAACUAAUUAACACAAAACAAAAAUGAACAACACAAGAAAAAUAGGAAGAAAGAAACCACAAAUUAAAAACAGACGGAGAAAAAGAAAGAGCAAAAGAGGAAUUUAAACCAUUGAUAGACAAAGUAAAACGUGAAAACAAAGGAACACUUACUAUGGAAGACAUGCAAUCUUGCAAAAAGUUCCCUAAAACAUGCCUGACUUCAGUAGCCCUAGAUUUGAAUUUUGUGGAGCUUUAGUGAGAUUCGAGAGAUUUUGACCAAAGAUUCGAAAUGAGGAGAGUCCGGAGAUUGUCUGGUAUCAAUUUGGGAUCAUUUGGAUGAUUUUGGGUUUGGGGCCUUAUUUUAAAAUCAAGAUUCGAGGCGCCUGGGUUUCAUUCGAGGGAAGCCAUUAUCAAAUAUGGGACGAGGAGGGCGAGAGGAGAUUGGGGUGUCAAUUUGGUAGGAUUUGGCAUCGGCGCCACCACCCUAGGGCAGUAGGAUUUGGUGGAGGCGGGAUUAGGGUUCAUGAAGGGAGGGGUAUGUGAGAAGAUGAGAAUGGGG